RNAcentral lists this ribosomal RNA (396 nucleotides) under uncultured bacterium. RNAcentral describes it as "bacterial SSU rRNA". It matches the Rfam family "Bacterial small subunit ribosomal RNA", at positions 428 to 816 of the family's 1533-position model. The record is from RNAcentral.
AAGUUCUGUUGUUAGGGAAGAACAAGUACCAGAGUAACUGCUGGUACCUUGACGGUACCUAACCAGAAAGCCACGGCUAACUACGUGCCAGCAGCCGCGGUAAUACGUAGGUGGCAAGCGUUGUCCGGAAUUAUUGGGCGUAAAGCGCGCGCAGGUGGUUCCUUAAGUCUGAUGUGAAAGCCCACGGCUCAACCGUGGAGGGUCAUUGGAAACUGGGGAACUUGAGUGCAGAAGAGGAAAGUGGAAUUCCAAGUGUAGCGGUGAAAUGCGUAGAGAUUUGGAGGAACACCAGUGGCGAAGGCGACUUUCUGGUCUGUAACUGACACUGAGGCGCGAAAGCGUGGGGAGCAAACAGGAUUAGAUACCCUGGUAGUCCACGCCGUAAACGAUGAGUGC